Drosophila miranda is the source of this 1223-nucleotide long non-coding RNA. RefSeq lists it as uncharacterized. The transcript is spliced from 3 exons. NCBI's taxonomy places the organism in Eukaryota, Metazoa, Arthropoda, Insecta, Diptera, Drosophilidae. The record is from RefSeq and is a predicted model, not a curated record.
UUCUCCCUUCCCAUUUCUCUCAUUCGCACUGAACCAAUCAGCCAAGAAACAUCUAAAUUUUUGUGUGGGUCCUAAAAUUUUUGUCGACUCAAAUUUUUUGUUUUGUUCAAGAAACUUAACUUCUCAAACAUGUGCGACCCUUGCUGUGGACCUUGCGGCUCUUGCUGCGGCCCCUGCUGCGGAUCCUGCGGCCCUUGCUGGGGACCCAGCCACCGACCUUGCAGACCCCGCUGCGGACCUUCCGGACCCUGCUGCUACCCUUGUAGAAAUGGCGGACCCUGCUGCUGUGGCCCCAGCGGACGGGCCAACGGACUCUGCGACUAAUAUCUACUGAUCGCGAACCACGAACAUUAAUUUGAGACGGCAAUAAAACAAUGGCCUAGACCACCAGAGCCCACCAAACAUUGAACUGUCUUAUUGUGGGCAUGAAGGGGGUUGGGUGGUAGCUAUUAUAGCUUAAGAUUGAAUUAAGAUGCAUGAGGGGCCAGACUUUCGUGGUCUUUGAGUUUCAUAUUCAUUCAAUGCAAUGAUAAACAAUCGUAGAAAAGAAAAACAUUUUUUGACAACUUUUACUUUAACUAUAAAAAUGUAUAAUAAUGUAGCAAAAAUUUUUGAACGGAACAGUGAAAAGGUGGGGAAAGGAUUGAUCCCAUGGUUGUCGAUGAGGCAGGACAACAUGCACCUUACCGUGCAAAUCAUUCCUCCCAGGAAGUACUAGCUUCUGUCACACGACACUUGGCCAUUGAAGUCGUCUGUUAUGUUAAAAGCAGACAAAUUAAUAAUCUUCACUCGUCUCCAACCCAGCUUUUUCUUAGAUUGUCCUUUCUGCCAAUAAUAUUGCCAUAUUAGAGAAAAAAGGCCAUCAUAGCGGAAACGCUCUUCAAUAAAAUUCGUGGUUAAAUUUUGGUACGCCCCCUAUGAACUAAAAUUUAUAGCAAAGGGCCGCCAUAAACGCCAUGAGUGGUGUAGUAGUUUCAUUUUCUUGUGUGCAGAUGGCGCCGGUAGUCAUAUCGAAAUGCAUCUAAGAAAUCGAGGAUUAAAACACGUCUCUCGCACUUUUAACGAUAUAAAUUCCAGAUCUAAGCUGGCAUACGCCGAAAACAAAAGUGUAAUGCCACAAAUAACUAAUAUAUGUACCGAUUUGGCGGCAGCUAUUACAAUUUGAGCUGUCAUUGAACAAGUAAUCCAAAACAAGUGCCAAAAUUCAAUACAACCCGCAUGGC